CGGAUCGGAGUCUGCAACCCGACUCCGUGAAGCUGGAUUCGCUAGUAAUCGCGCAUCAGCCACGGCGCGGUGAAUACGUUCCCGGGCCUUGUACACACCGCCCGUCAAGCCAUGGGAGCCGGGGGUACCUGAAGUGCGUGACCGCAAGGAGCGCCCUAAGGUAAAACCGGUGACUGGGGCUAAGUCGUAACAAGGUAAC
RNAcentral lists this ribosomal RNA (199 nucleotides) under uncultured bacterium. Its description in RNAcentral is "partial 16S ribosomal RNA". It matches the Rfam family "Bacterial small subunit ribosomal RNA", at positions 1294 to 1500 of the family's 1533-position model. The record is from RNAcentral.